UCCUCCGUGGCGCAAUUGGCUAGCGCGUUCGACUGUUAUACCAGGCAGGGUUGCUUUGUGGGCGCAUAUCGAGAGGUUGGAAGUUCGAGCCUUCCCGGGGGAG
This 103-nucleotide transfer RNA is filed under the name Plenodomus lingam JN3. RNAcentral describes it as "tRNA-Asn for anticodon GUU". It matches the Rfam family "tRNA". Rfam says of the family: Transfer RNA (tRNA) molecules are approximately 80 nucleotides in length. The record is from Rfam by way of RNAcentral. Lineage: Eukaryota; Fungi; Ascomycota; Dothideomycetes; Pleosporales; Leptosphaeriaceae.